AACCGAGGCAACCGAUCACACCCCCUCGACGCAUUCGCCCCCGAAGUAAGUGGCAAUCUUGAGAGCGGUCGGUAGGCACAGCGUGGUCGGUCGGCACAGCGUGGUCGCGCAGCUGAAAAUUUGCUUCACGUCUGACUCCAACGGGUAUCCCAAAAACUUAUCCUCCCUUGACGGUCCUAAAAUCAGCAGAGUGGUCAACAGAAGGUGAAUAUGGUUCCCGGAUGAUUCAGAUUAGCAUCUUUUGUGGCAGAGGAUCUAUCCACUAUCGGCAACUAAAUGACUACAAGAUCUUAAGAUUGGCUUUAUUAUAUAAGGUAUAUCAAUCGCGUCGCGUACAAACCGUGAUUAGGAGUAACCCAAAGAUGGAAAGAAUGUAAGGGCAAGGAACAAACACUGGAUAGGACUUUGGCGAAUAGAGCUCUCUUCCGGAUAUCUCCAGGCAUCCUUCGUAGCUAUCCUUACUUCCCAUCCGCGCACGACAUGACUGGACAGACUGGACAACUUGAGACCCGUAGCGGCGCAACGACGAUUUUUGACCCCAAAGGAGGAAGUCCGUGCAUCUUUAUAAAAUAGGGAGGGAUGUGAAAAAAUAGCGCUUCGGUCUAGUUAAACUGUAUGCACUGCUGCCUUGUAAUGUGUGUGUGUGUGUGUGUGUCGACCUCACUUGCCACAUACAGCAUUGUGCCACACCGCAGCAGAGAAGCCGACCCUGACCAAGGAACAACGAGAGAAGAACACAAUGACAAUGUGCAACCUGUUUGUGGUGGUGGAUAUUGUAGUGAUGGGUAUGCGUAAAGGAGAUUAGAAGUAGACAAUAGCACCAUAAAAUAGCGCGGUAGUGUGGUGGCGGAUAUGCAGAUUAGAAGCAGACAAACCCUGAUAAAAAACAACGUUGGGACAGACGGGUGAAGGGUAGACCGAGGUCAGACCGAGAUAAACGAGGAAGGCGUGGGUUGACAACAAGCGAUAAUGUAUGCGAGAACGGCUGCUGGAGGCGUAUAAAAGGGCUAACCUCCAAGCCAGCGUCACUCUCGCUCCAGUCCGGCCUACUGUGCAGUGCUCCGACUCGACUGAACGCUCCACCAGCAACCCAACAAUAGCGCAAGACUACGGCCUACGGAUGGAGCCACCAACAAACACUCCCCCGAUGCCAAGGCUCAGCUUUACCCGCCCCAAACAACCGAAGAGCUCGGUACAUAAUCGAGCGACCAAUAAGCGCUCUACACUUUGGUGAUUUUGCCAUUUUGGUUUGGCACUGUUUCGACAUUCUGUUUCGAUUACUUUUGGCACUGUUUUGGCAACUUGUUCGGCACUGUUACGGCCCAUUCCGUUCCGAAUACUUGUUCGGCACUGUCUUGACACUGUUUCGGUCAUUCUGUUUUCGGUAACCUUGUGCUUCGGCAUAUUGUUCGGUUAUGUGUUUUUUAGCACCCUAUUUCGGCCACUUUUAUUUACUACCACGGUAACAUAUACCGGGUAUUCUCAGCCUGAGUCCGCCUUUUUCGGCAACGUUUACUUUUUAGCUUCUAAGGACUCCAGGCAAUUGUUAAAUUAUUGACGUUUACCCUUUUCGGCCUGUUCGAAUAUAUUUUAGCCCACUG
Molecule: long non-coding RNA, 1601 nt
Filed under: Amphibalanus amphitrite
Lineage: Eukaryota; Metazoa; Arthropoda; Thecostraca; Balanomorpha; Balanidae
Description: uncharacterized LOC122393205
Source: RNAcentral